This 2883-nucleotide ribosomal RNA is filed under the name Triticum aestivum (bread wheat). Its description in RNAcentral is "partial small subunit ribosomal RNA". The record is from RNAcentral. Lineage: Eukaryota; Viridiplantae; Streptophyta; Magnoliopsida; Poales; Poaceae.
GCCUGCGUAGACGACUGCGCAGCGGUGGGCACCGCCGAGGGCCGCGCGGGGCCCGGGCUCCGACGACGGCACCUCAUCCUCAUCGUUAUCCGGGACGCGAUGCGGAGGGUGUUGGUAGUAGGUAGGGGCUGGGGUCGUGGGUGCGUGCGUGUUCUUUUCGAGGAGGCGGGGCGGCAGGGGGGGAGGGGCGAAUUUUGGAGCCGAGGCUGGCUUGGGUGACGGGGGAGUGUGGGCGGCGCGGGGCUAAGCAGCAGUGGUGAGGGUGGUCUGGCAGUAGGUGGCAGCUGACGACGGGCCGGCCUAAGCUAGACGGUGAUGAUCGCGUCGUGCCGCGGACUGGCUAGCCGGCCGUACCUCUUCUUCGACGGCGACGGCGACGGCGACCGCGUGCCCCUCCCCGACACCCGCGCCGGGACCGCCACCCGGUUCUGGCGGAAGAAGGAGCAGAGGUACGAGCGGAGCGACGAGGAGCAGACGCGCGGCGGCGAGGAGCAGCAGGAGGAGCUGGACGAGGAGGGCGGGCGCGAGGAGAGGUUGAAGGAGGCGCGGAGGAGGCGUGUGUGGGAGGAGCUGGUCCGGUCCCCGAAGGUGAAGGCGAGGAGGGAGCAGCUGGAGGGGCGGCAGAGGCGGCGGGCGAGGGAGGAGUAGGAGACGCGGAUGUGCCGCACGCCGCCUCCGCGCCGGAUGGACACCCACCGCCGCCGGACGUCGCAGCCGAGGGAGAAGAUGCAGGAGCGGUUCCGGCAGCGGCAGAAGCCGCACGGCCGGCUGCCGCGGCGGCCGGAGCUCGACGUGCCGUUCCCGGUCGAGGAGCGGCACCUCCGGUACAAGGAGUACAGCGAGCGCGAGCGGCGGCGCGUGGAGCGGUACCGUAUGGCCCGGUCAUCGGCCCUCUUCGCGGCCGACGUGCAGCAGAUGUCUUAGCUGUAGCUUCGUCACUCAGGGGAGUGGGGGAGGUACGGUUAGAAGCUAGCGUAAUUUGUGGUAGCGGUACUAGUCACACAGUCAUCGUCGGUGGCAGUGUGUGCGGUUUGUUUGUUUGUUGAUUUUAAGUCUAUUUGACCUCGAAACGUUAUGCGGUACGUUCGAGCGUCCUUUCUUAAAAUUAAAAGUUCUAAGGCGUCGUGUUAGGUCCGCGAAGAAACCCACAUAUCAUCAUAUUAAGUAGGUAAGUAGGGUCGCGAAAGCCGGACUGUCGACUAGGUUGAAACUGUGAAACACACGUUUUGCGCGGUCGCAUCACACAUCACAUUAGGCUCCGCGCGGCGCCUUAGAUGAGAUGAUGAAAGGGGUCGGCCGCGUUGACAUGGCUCGUUGUGCUGUCGAGCACGUUGCCCGCCUACCCUCGGACUUUAAGACUUAAUCAGAUGAACGCGGACGAUGGCCCGCGUAUCUAAUUGGGUUGACCAGUCACGACGUGGUGUAAUCGAAUCGACAUGGUAGUUUAAAACUAAUCACUCAUCACACCAACGAGGAUCGAUCGACUGAGGCCCACGAGGUUCCUGCCUGCCUGCCUGCCUCUCUCAGUUUAAGUUUGUCGCGGUUGGGACGAGUUUUAGGCGUGCUUUUGGCCUGCCUCUGUGCCAGGUCGUCGACGACUCUGUGCAAAGCGGUGUGCACCUGCCAGGGUACCAGCUGACUAGACCUGUCACGCCCGGCUGAACAUCUCUAUAGACCUACCUACCAGCGACGCCGGUAGACACGUACGUGUUACCCGAUUUUUACUGGAGUGUUGGCGUUGGUUUUUGGGCCGCACAGUGACAGCGCGUCACACCGGCGGACUACUUGGAAGAAACGAAGGCAGCCUUCGUGUCGAGCUGGCUACCGAGAAAACCGCACUAGAAGCAUCGCCUUCUUAGAGGAGCUGAAGCAGUUUACAAUCGACAGCACUUUCGCUUGUUUUCAAUGUCGACAAAACAAUGACAGAGCAAUGAACAGCCCAAUGAUCAUUUAAUUGAGCCCAACAAACAGUUAACACAUCCAUUCCAAUUUCCCUUGGGUGUGCGGGUUCAGCGACUUCGUUACGUAGCAUACUGUGGGUAGGUAGCAGGCCAGCCUACCCUUACCUAAGACCUCUCCGCUGCCGUCCCCAGAGACGAAGGAGGGGGCCAGAGUUAAAAAACCGAGCUCGUCAUCAAACAGAUGUGAGGCUAACUAGCUAGCUAGGUGUGCUGCGCGGUACACAUAUACAAUGGGCGUGGUUGCAGGGAGAGAGGGUUCACCUGUAUCACACCUCGAGUCGACAUUUAUACCACCCUGUAAACACGAAGCCGGAGGACGUUUUCCCUACUCGGCACGCCGUCUACGCUAACGACAAAAAAGUAGUAGAAGAAGAAGAGAGACAAAAUCAAAGUUAGUGACCUGCAGUGGUACAGACUGUGAGACUGGCUUUGACACUUAACAGUUUUCUUGCUUUAAACCGCCUGACCAUUUUAAUUAGACCCGCGGCCCUUCUUCAAAGUUUGUGCAAAAAGGACGGCAUCUUUGAAGUCCGGUCGCUCAGUUCAUUACUGCGUGCCCUGUUAUCAACCAUUUUCACUGAACUCUCCUCGAAAGGCUAAACGGGUUGCUAGAUCUGGAACUGUUUACCCUUUACCUUCUGAAACUUCUUUUUUUUAACUCUUUUCUUUCUCCUGAAACUAAACAACGAAGACCUUUAGACCCUAUGAAAAGUCGUACCCUUUUCCGGUCGUAUAGUGCUCUCCUACCGACGAUUUGGCUAGACCUAUCACAAGAAAAAGAAAUCGCUUGGGUAGACCUACUACACGAGGAGUCCCCGGCAGUAACGUUGUUUCCGUUUGUAUAAAAUCAUUAAGUUAUAAUGUACAACAUGAUGAGCUUUAAUCUUCUUUUUUUCAUAUGAAAAGUAUUAAUUGCACUAGG